CCCUCUGGGGUGCAGCCGAACAUCAACGCUUGCUGAGGGAUGGCGUUAAUCAGGAAGGCAUCGGCGCGGUGCGGUCCCUCGAUCGGCACGCCGUACUUUUGCGCCAUCUCGGCGGCGCCGCCGGCGUGGUCGAGGUGGCCAUGCGUCAACAGCACCUUCUGCAGUUGCACGCCGGCCUUGGUGAUUGCCGCGGCGAUCCUCUCGACGUCGCCGCCGGGAUCAAUGACGGCGGCCUCAAGCGUCUCCGUGCACCACAGGAGAGAGCAGGUCUGAACGAACGGCGUGACUGGAAUCACCGCCAGUUUGAGGGCAGGCGUCGGCAUGGCGUGGACCUUCGGGGUCUGGAAUGGGCGGGAGGGC
Molecule: ribosomal RNA, 360 nt
Filed under: uncultured prokaryote
Description: partial 16S ribosomal RNA
Source: RNAcentral